GAUGAACGCUGGCGGCGUGCCUAAUACAUGCAAGUCGAACGAGUUCUCGUUGAUGAUCGGUGCUUGCACCGAGAUUCAACAUGGAACGAGUGGCGGACGGGUGAGUAACACGUGGGUAACCUGCCCUUAAGUGGGGGAUAACAUUUGGAAACAGAUGCUAAUACCGCAUAGAUCCAAGAACCGCAUGGUUCUUGGCUGAAAGAUGGCGUAAGCUAUCGCUUUUGGAUGGACCCGCGGCGUAUUAGCUAGUUGGUGAGGUAAUGGCUCACCAAGGCGAUGAUACGUAGCCGAACUGAGAGGUUGAUCGGCCACAUUGGGACUGAGACACGGCCCAAACUCCUACGGGAGGCAGCAGUAGGGAAUCUUCCACAAUGGACGCAAGUCUGAUGGAGCAACGCCGCGUGAGUGAAGAAGGCUUUCGGGUCGUAAAACUCUGUUGUUGGAGAAGAAUGGUCGGCAGAGUAACUGUUGUCGGCGUGACGGUAUCCAACCAGAAAGCCACGGCUAACUACGUGCCAGCAGCCGCGGUAAUACGUAGGUGGCAAGCGUUAUCCGGAUUUAUUGGGCGUAAAGCGAGCGCAGGCGGUUUUUUAAGUCUGAUGUGAAAGCCCUCGGCUUAACCGAGGAAGCGCAUCGGAAACUGGGAAACUUGAGUGCAGAAGAGGACAGUGGAACUCCAUGUGUAGCGGUGAAAUGCGUAGAUAUAUGGAAGAACACCAGUGGCGAAGGCGGCUGUCUGGUCUGUAACUGACGCUGAGGCUCGAAAGCAUGGGUAGCGAACAGGAUUAGAUACCCUGGUAGUCCAUGCCGUAAACGAUGAGUGCUAGGUGUUGGAGGGUUUCCGCCCUUCAGUGCCGCAGCUAACGCAUUAAGCAUUCCGCCUGGGGAGUACGACCGCAAGGUUGAAACUCAAAGGAAUUGACGGGGGCCCGCACAAGCGGUGGAGCAUGUGGUUUAAUUCGAAGCAACGCGAAGAACCUUACCAGGUCUUGACAUCUUUUGAUCACCUGAGAGAUCAGGUUUCCCCUUCGGGGGCAAAAUGACAGGUGGUGCAUGGUUGUCGUCAGCUCGUGUCGUGAGAUGUUGGGUUAAGUCCCGCAACGAGCGCAACCCUUAUGACUAGUUGCCAGCAUUUAGUUGGGCACUCUAGUAAGACUGCCGGUGACAAACCGGAGGAAGGUGGGGAUGACGUCAAAUCAUCAUGCCCCUUAUGACCUGGGCUACACACGUGCUACAAUGGAUGGUACAACGAGUUGCGAGACCGCGAGGUCAAGCUAAUCUCUUAAAGCCAUUCUCAGUUCGGACUGUAGGCUGCAACUCGCCUACACGAAGUCGGAAUCGCUAGUAAUCGCGGAUCAGCACGCCGCGGUGAAUACGUUCCCGGGCCUUGUACACACCGCCCGUCACACCAUGAGAGUUUGUAACACCCGAAGCCGGUGGCGUAACCCUUUUAGGGAGCGAGCCGUCUAAGGUGGGACAAAUGAUUAGGGUG
RNAcentral lists this ribosomal RNA (1492 nucleotides) under Lacticaseibacillus paracasei. RNAcentral describes it as "bacterial SSU rRNA". It matches the Rfam family "Bacterial small subunit ribosomal RNA". The record is from RNAcentral. Lineage: Bacteria; Bacillati; Bacillota; Bacilli; Lactobacillales; Lactobacillaceae.